GAUGAACGCUGGCGGCGUGCCUAAUACAUGCAAGUCGAGCGAACGGACGAGAAGCUUGCUCCUCUGAUGUUAGCGGCGGACGGGUGAGUAACACCUGGAUAACCUACCUAAAAGACGGGGAUAACUUCGGGAAACCGGAUCUAAUACCGGAUAAUCUUUUGAACCGCAUGGUUCAAUAGUGAAAGACGGUCUUGCUUUCACUUAUAGAUGGAUCCGCGAUGCAUUAGCUGGGUGGGAAGGAAACGGCUUACCAAGGCAACGAUGCAUAACCGACCUGAGAGGAUAGUCGGCCACCAUAGAAUUGUAACACGAUCCAGACUACUAGCGGAGGCGGCAGUAGGGAAUCGUCCACAAUGGACGAGAGCGUGGCGGGGCAAAGCCGUGUGAGUGAUGAAGGUCUUCGGAUCGUGAAGCUCUGUUAUUAGGGAAAAACAUAUAUGUAAGUAACUGUGCACAUCAUGACGGUACCUAAUGAGAAAGCCACGGCUAACUACGUG
Molecule: ribosomal RNA, 497 nt
Filed under: uncultured bacterium
Lineage: Bacteria
Description: partial 16S ribosomal RNA
Rfam family: Bacterial small subunit ribosomal RNA
Source: RNAcentral